Molecule: ribosomal RNA, 780 nt
Filed under: uncultured archaeon
Lineage: Archaea
Description: bacterial SSU rRNA
Rfam family: Archaeal small subunit ribosomal RNA
Source: RNAcentral
ACUGCUCAGUAACACGUGGAUAACUUACCCUUAGGUGGAGGAUACGCUCGGGAAACUGAGAAUAAUACUCCAUAGAUCUAGGAUGCUGGAAUGCAUCUAGAUUGAAAGUUCCGGCGCCUAAGGAUAGGUCUGCGGACUAUCAGGUUGCUAGCCUACGACGGAUAUGGGUUGUGAGAGCAAUAGCCCAGAGACGAUAUCUGAGACACGAUAUCGGGCCCUACGGGGCGCAGCAGGCGCGAAAUCUUCACAAUGUGCGAAAGCACGAUGAGGGAAUCCCAAGUGCUUGCACGUAAGUGUAAGCUGUUUCUUAGUCUAAAAAACUGAGAGAGUAAGAGCUGGGUAAGACGGGUGCCAGCCGCCGCGGUAAUACCUGCAGCUCAAGUGGUGGCCGCUAUUAUUGGGCCUAAAACGUCCGUAGCCGGUUUAGUAAAUGCCUGGGUAAAUUGUGUAGCUUAACUAUACAAAUACCGGGUAGACUGCUAAACUUGGGACCGGGAGAGGCUAGAGGUACUCCUGGGGUAGAGGUGAAAUUCUGUAAUCCUAGGGGGACCACCAGUGGCGAAGGCGUCUAGCUAGAACGGGUCUGACGGUGAGGGACGAAGCCCUGGGGCGCAAACCGGAUUAGAUACCCGGGUAGUCCAGGGUGUAAACGCUGCUUGCUUGAUGUUAGUUGGGCUCCGAGCCCAACUAGUGUCGGAGAGAAGUUGUUAAGCAAGCUGCCUGGGAAGUACGGUCGCAAGACUGAAACUUAAAGGAAUUGGCGGGGAGCACAGCAACGGG